Molecule: ribosomal RNA, 418 nt
Filed under: Macrophthalmus definitus
Lineage: Eukaryota; Metazoa; Arthropoda; Malacostraca; Decapoda; Macrophthalmidae
Description: partial 16S large subunit ribosomal RNA
Rfam family: Archaeal large subunit ribosomal RNA
Source: RNAcentral
AAGUUUUUAAGGGCCGCGGUAUUUUGACCGUGCGAAGGUAGCAUAAUCAUUAGUUUUUUAAUUGGAAUCUUGUAUGAAUGGUUAGACAAGAGAAACUCUGUCUCUUUAUUAAAAAUUGAAUUUAACUUUUAAGUGAAAAGGCUUAAAUAAGUUAAAGGGACGAUAAGACCCUAUAAAGAUUUUUUUGGGGUGAAAAAAGUAAAAUGAAUAACUGCUGUAAAUGUGAUACAUGUUAGUUGGAAUAAAUUUUUAAAAGAUCCUAAAUAAAGAUUAUAAGUUUAAGUUACUUUAGGGAUAACAGCGUUAUUUUUUUUGAGAGUACGUAUCGAAAAAAAAGUUUGCGACCUCGAUGUUGAAUUAAAAUUUCUUUAUAGAAGCAGAAAUUAUAAUAGUUGGUCUGUUCGACCUUUAAAAUUUU